This is a long non-coding RNA of Leguminivora glycinivorella, 814 nucleotides long. RefSeq lists it as uncharacterized. The record is from RefSeq and is a predicted model, not a curated record. NCBI's taxonomy places the organism in Eukaryota, Metazoa, Arthropoda, Insecta, Lepidoptera, Tortricidae. The transcript is spliced from 2 exons.
GGUAAAUCAUUAAAUAAUGUAAACAAGUGAUAAAAAACAGUAAAAUAAAUAUUUGGUAUUAGAAAAUAAAUGAUUUGAAAACAACACAACGUAACAUGGAGACUUAUAAUUAUGUACAUCUAAUAGCUUUCCCGUUACCAAGGAGAAAGUUUAGGUAAAAAAAUUAAGUUGAGUGAUCACAUCAAGUUUAUAUUAUGCACACUACGGAAGAUAUAAAGAGAACAAAACACGGCUUUAAAGACAAUUACAGGAUAGAAACAUAACCUCAAAUAUGGUACAGAAGAAACAGACUAAUCAAAACUAUGAAAGGACACGAACAUUUACAUUACAUUUGAUAGUGAGGAAAGGACAGAAAAACAGGUUCCUGAGGGGCGGAGGAAUGAUGUUCCAGCACUUGGUCGCAUUGUACUUGAAGCUGCCACGAAAAGCCGCAGUCGCAUGCCGAGGAGUUAUCAGCUGUAUACUACAAGUGCGUACUGCAAGAGACCUGCGAGUGGACAUCCAUGACAGCUUUUCGAAGAGAUAUAAAGGGGAUUUAUGUUUUACUAUGCCAAAAAGAAGACUGGCCAGAUGAAGUUUGCGACGGUGAAGCAUUUUAAGAAUAUUGUGCUUAUUCAAAAAUGGCGUGACAUGAGCUCUUGGUGGUACAUUGAAACAGAAGCGGGUACAGGCAUUCUGUACUCUUUGAAUAAGCCGUUUUGUUUUUGAUAGGAGCCGAGGGCCAUACACUAAAUCCAUGUAAUUUAAUUUAGACAGAACUAGUGUUUCAAUCAAUUGAAUGCGCAAGGUUUCGUUAAUAAAAGGCCGUAUGUUG